AAGUGAACUGGUGGUUAAAAAGAGCCUGGCACCUGCCCCCCUCCCUUUUGCUUCCUCUCUCACCAUGUGGUCAGUUCACACCAGCCUUUCCUUGCCUUGUACUGUGAGUGGAAGCAGCCUGAGGGUGUCAUCAGAAGCAGAUGUUGGUACCAGGCUUCUUAUAGUUUGUAGAACUGUGAACCAAAGAAACCUCGUUUCUUUAUAAAUUAUUCAGCUUCAGGUAUUCUUUUCUCACAACACAAAAUGAUCCAGGACAGUACCUAAAAGCUUCAAUUUGCCAUUUGAUUCUUUCUAUGAGAUGACUAGAUUUUUUGGGAGGACAGGUCUAUCUAUCUGGAAAGAAGCCGUUUGGAAUGGAAGCAGUAUGAAACAAGCAUAAUUUUCUUGGUUUAAGCCAACCUUAUUAUAAGCCCCUGAAUCUUACAACUUUAUUACAUUUCUGCAAAUAUCCAGAAGCUUAUGUAUUUAUUAUUCUUUCAGGCUCUUGAGUUUCUGCUUUCAAGUGACCCUCAGAAAUUCCUCCAUUCACUGCAGAGGUUCUGUUUCUCCUUGCUUUGUUCUGACUUUACGGCAGAACUAAGCUAAUGAGUUAGUUACUAUGGGUUAUCACUUGGAUUUGAAGAACCAUCAUUUCUAGGCAUUGCUGCUCAGAGUGACCUUGCCAUCGUAUCCCCUUUUGGAGACACAAGCCAGGAAGGAAGCUCUUCAGUGCAGCUGUGAAUAGAGAAAUGCUGGCUGAGGUUUUGGAGACACUGGGUGAUCAUUCCCAGUGAAAUUUUUAGAUCCCUGGGGACAUGAGCUGCUUUGUCUUUUCCAAGGCUGAAAAAGUUUUGGAAGCCCUCCUAAGCAGGUGCCAGACCCUUUUUUGGCCAGAGACAGGAUCUUACGCUGUUGCCCAGGCUGGAGUGCAAUAGUGUCAUCAUGGCUCACUGUAGCCUGGAACUGCUGGGCUCAAGGGAUCCUCCCAGCUCAGCCUCCCAAGUAGCUAGGAGUAAAGUUGGAGGAACUGGUUAUUUUCCCAGGGCUUUGACUGAAAUGGCCUUGUGAAUGGUUCCAGGAAAGCCAAUUUUGGAGACCCUAUGUGGAUGAUGAUGCUUGCUGUACUUUCUGUGGGUAAUCGGGCCAAGUAUAUGGGACUGAAGCUAAUUUUGCAGGUGAGAAAAUGGAGGUCCAGAGAGAAAAGUGACUCACCCAAGCUGAAAACAGUUGCAGGAAGAAAAGCCAGGACAGAACUGGGCUGUUAGAAACCUUGGAGUACACUAAAGAUGAGGAACUGAGUCACCGCAAUGCCAAAUGUAACACGCUGUGGGUCAAAAUUUGGAUGGUUGCGUUGGAAAUUAUUCUGAAGCCACAGACAGGGCUAAAAGAGUCUAGAAUGUCCUACUAGCUGUUGGAACCUGCUGGAGUUCUAAAGGCAUGCGAUGUCCUGAAUGUGCUUGACCAAUGGACACAGCAGGUAUUUGAAGAGUUUUGAUGCUUCCUUUCUGUUUUCAGUGCUAUUUUUUUGCUUUAUUUCUUUUAAAAAACUUUCCCCACAGAGGCUAUUUAUUACACAGCAGCAGCCAGCAUGCACCAAGCAGAACUGCUUUUCAUAAUAAACCUAUUUAUCUUCUGGCAUGUCAGAAAUUUCUCAAAUUGAUACUUAUAAUAAAUAUGAUUAAUAACACAUUGUA
Molecule: long non-coding RNA, 1673 nt
Filed under: Homo sapiens (human)
Lineage: Eukaryota; Metazoa; Chordata; Mammalia; Primates; Hominidae
Description: PREDICTED lncRNA (TCONS_00257615)
Source: RNAcentral